RNAcentral lists this long non-coding RNA (6854 nucleotides) under Citrus x clementina. Its description in RNAcentral is "Citrus clementina (C. clementina) long non-coding RNA (CCLE_LNC000603)". The record is from RNAcentral. Lineage: Eukaryota; Viridiplantae; Streptophyta; Magnoliopsida; Sapindales; Rutaceae.
GCAGAUCAUAACAUGCAACUAUCUCACACAAUGAACUAAGCUCCAACUGGACAACAUAAACUAUCAUUUUCUGUAUAAGAAAAAAUGAAAAUUUAAGAUCGUUUCUGUUGCUUCAGUACCGACCCCUUCAUACUGGCUCCAAGGUGGUUUUGUUGUAGCCAUUUCCAAAACAGUGCAUCCAAGACUCCAAAUAUCAACAGCAAGAUUGCAACCACUUGAGUUCUUUAUAACCUGAGUGUAAAUUUAGAUUUGAUAUCACAAUUGAGAAACAUGUUGUUAUUAAUGAGUUCAGGUACAAAAAGGAAUAAUUUCUGACCUCAGGAGCCAUCCAGUAAGGGCUUCCCUUGAAUGAUAAUGGACAUGACUGGCCGGCAAUCUGCACAGAGCAUUUAAUGUUUCGCUAAAUUCUCAUUUAAUCAGAUGCAAUUUAUACAUUUAUUAAAAGAAAUUAUUAUGCCUAAACUUACAUGCUUUGCCAUCCCAAAAUCUGCCAGCUUGACCCGCCCAUUUGGAUCCACAAGUAUGUUUGCUCCUUUAAUGUCCCUGUAAAAUAAAUGCCCUUUAUUUAAGAAUACAAACAAUGUAUAAAUUGAGCAGAGUAGCUAAUCUGUAUAUAGCAGCUUCAAACUUAUUCAAGAAUAGGAGGAUUAUCACCUGUGGACUGUAUGCUUUGAGUGUAAGAAUGCAAGCCCAGACAAGAUUUGUUGUGUAUAAUUACGAAUUGCCGGUUCGCCAAAAUGUCCAUAAUCCUGGAGAAGUUUAUAAAUUGACCCACCAGAUACAUACUCCAGGUAUAUAUAAAGUUUGUCCUCAACCUGUUCGGGAAAAAAAAUCCAACAGUCAUAUUUGUACCAUAUGAAAAGACAAUGUCUGAAAAUAAAUAUCAACAGCUUUAAAUAACAAUUGUCACAUGCUUCAGUGAAUGGAAAUAGAACAAAAAUACUUACUGUUUUAGAUCCAUAGUAUUGCACGAUGUUUGGAUGCCGUAAGCGACUUAAUAAUACAAUUUCCUGCCACAGAACUCGAGUAAGAAUGUUUUCUUAAAGCUAUGCAUAUGUUACAAAACAAGGGAGCAAUUAAAUAAACUAUUCAAAGAAAGGAUGCAGGCAGCGGGGGGGAGGCAAAGAAACAAAAACCAUUAUCUAAUAAACUGAAAGCUGACUGUUAUACUUGGAAGUGAUCAUACCUGCAUCAGCUGCUUAGCACUCUCCUUUGACUUGGCAUCAUCAAAUAAUGUAACUUCCUUCAUUGCACACAUUUCACCACUAUCACUGGACCAGUUAAGAGGAGAAAUCAGAUACAUACAAACUUAAAUAAUGACCAACAUGUAAAAAUACCAAAACAGAUUAAAACAUCAUAUUUAAAAACCUCAGUCCUAAUGAGCCAUUUGUAAUCGAUAAUCAAGAAAAUCUGCUAACACUGAUCUCAACUACUUAGCUUGCUAAUGUACUAAAUUUGAUGGGAGGUUAAUACAAUUGUUUUGCAAGCCGUUUAUUAAUAAAAUCAAAGUGCACAUGCAUUAAAAAAAAUUAAAAAAAAGCAAUAUUCUUUGUGGCAAACCUGUUAAAACAAACAUAAACCACAAACCUGUUAAAACCAACAUAAACAUGUCCAAAUGUGCCUCUACCCAGCAUCUUUCCCUUUUUCCAGUGUGACUCGGGGCUAACUGGAUUUUCCACUCUUCCUGGACUUCGCGGCACAGAGGGUGAUGUUGCAGCCGAAUUUGAAUGAGAAAAGGGAGAAGAAUUGGAUAUUGUUAUAGGAGGAAGAGGCAAGCGGUGGCUUUGUUGUUUUCCAUCAUCAGGCCAGCUUGUCUGCGACUCAAUGGGUGCACCUCCUGCUCUAGGAUGAAUAGGGGUGACAGCACCACUUUGGAUUCUGGAGCUGGGGCCUGGGCUAGUCAUUCUGGGACUAGGUAUUGGUGAAUAUUCUGGGCUACCCCUGCUUUGUAACUGUUGCCAAAAUAACUGUCCUGACAUAUCACCUCCCAUCGAAUUAUUACCAGAAUUUUGACCAGAACCUGGACUAGAGCAGUGGCCAGAGCCAAGUAAUGUGACAUCUGCAUAAGGCUUCCCAGACCAGAAAGCAGAAUUCACGACUUGCUCACUACCAAAUGCUCUCAGUGGACUUCUGGAGGGACUUGACAACGAGCUGUCAGGAGCACUGCUGAAAGCACCAUGAUACGGAACCUGUAGAUUUGGCACAUGACCACUUAAACGUCUUUGUUUGGGUGAUGGGGAGAGACGAUUACUCAAUGAAAGAUUUGCCGGUUUUUUUUCCUCUCUUGAACUUGUUUGAGAGGCAUUGGAAAGAUGAUCCUUGGGCAUCACACUUCAGGGGUGGAAAGAAAGAUGGAGUCAAUUGAUCAGGAAUAAGUAGAUAUAAUAAAACAUCAAUAACAUGUGAACACAAAUUUCCCAUACAUUUACAUUUUUAUCCAUUGUCAAAGCGUCGAGUUUAAUGAGUUACGAGCAGGCUAACCUGGAAGGGCUGCUUGCAGCUGUUCUAGUCCCAUUGUCAUAGUCAUUUGCCAGCGGACUGCGAUGACGGGAGUCAGCUUGAUCGUCACUAUCAAUGGAGCUCUCACUGGAAAUAGAGGCGGUGAUCAAAUCUCCAUCCAAGUCAGCAGGAUUUGCCCUACUACGUAUGCAUGCCGGUCUUGGAAGAGGUAAAAACAAUGAAGACUUGGAACCUUUUUCCAGUUUUGGCUUAGUGGAGAUACUAAUUUCAGAAGCUGUACGACUUACAGCUGCAGAGCGCAAACCAGGAAGUGGAAGUGGUUGAGCAUUGGACCUUUCAACAAAACUUUGACUCCUCCCUACUUGCUUGGAAGGGGAAGUUGAUCUAGAUUCUGCUCGGGACUGGGAUCCUAGCUCCGAAACUGUAUCAUUGCAAGGUCUGCGAGACCCUCCUGAUUUACUGCUUGCUUUACCUUCACAUGUGAUCUUAAUUUUUUGAUGUAUUGUGCAAAUUAUACCAUCCUUACUUGCUUUUUUCUUCGACGAUGACUUUCCCCACCAAGAACGCAUUUUUCUUAUUCUUCAAUAUUUACCAAAAAAAGAAUAAAGCAGCUGGAAAUUUCUUCUAAGGCAAUUCCGUUUCUAAAACCAACAACCAAUCGUGCAACACUUUAUUCUAAAAUUCUAAAACCUGAACAAAAAAAACAAUGAAAAAUAUAACAUGGUCAAUAAUUAGCAAGACUGUGUCUAUGUCACUGUCAACUCCAAAAUCAAAUUAAACAAAAGUGAGAAAAAUUGCAUGUCUGAAUGUUAUACUGAAGCAAUGAACUGAUCAAAAAAAAAAAAAAACCUCACAGGCAAUAUGAAAAGUCAAAAUUAGUCAGCCAAUUUUGACUGAUUAGCAAAGCUACCUCAUCCAACAACCUCAAAAAAGGAACCACAUUUUUAUACUUAAAACCGCGUAAAUUAAGCACGUCUUGUACGUGCAUUAUAUAUAAUCACAACGCAAAUCAUAUUAGUUCAAAUUUCUAACUACAUAUAGGAACUGGCAAAAUAAACACGUGCGCUAAAAAUAAAAUCUGAAAUUCAUUCACUAAAAAUAACUCGAUUUUUCUCAAAUGAACUAAACAGAGUUUUACGAUCUUUAACUUAGUUCAAAACGACGGCGUUAAUAGACAGAUCUCAGCACAGGCUAAAAAUAAAGACAUAAAAAAGAAUACUAAUAAUAAUAACAAAAAAUUGUACUCACCGGCACAUGUUUUAACGGCAGUUUGAAUCUGAAGUGAAGAAGAAACGUACGUCUGAGAGAUUAGUUGCGUAAUGUUGAGAUGAGAACUGGUUGAAUGUAAUCGUGGAGAAAUGAAAGAACCCUAGUCAAAACGGCAGCGUAUUGAGGGAUUCCUUUGCAAGAAGAAUUUUGUUGUUGUUGAGUUCAAAGAGAGAGAUCGCGUAAAAAGAAGACAGAGAUUGAUAGAAAUGUAGAGAGAGAAAGAGAAGGAAAGGGAAGAGAGAGAGAGUAUGUCUGAGCCCAAGACAUGGAGUUGUCUGUGCGUUGAUUUUACAAUUAUUAAAAAAAAUACAUAUAUAUAUAUAUAUAUUAAAAUUAUAUUAUAUUAUAAUUAUUAAAAAGUAAUGAUGGUGAUUGCCGCAUUGGUAAAUUUCCGAGUACAGUAAACUCGUUUUUAACCGUUAGUUACCCCAAAAAAAUUUAAAAAGAAAAAAAUCUUUAGGGGAGAUGGACUGAUGGAGCAUGCCACGUCAUCAUGCUGCUAAUUAUAAAUUUAUUAUGUAAUAAAUAUAAUAUGCGUCAAGAUGUCAUCUAAAAUAAUAAUAAUAAUAGAUAAUAUUAUGUACUGUAUUAAUAUUAUGUUCUGUAUUUGAUUAUUGCCAGAUUUUUCUUUAUUUGAAAGUGACUUUUUUUUGGUAAUUAUAAUUUUUUAUUUUACCGUUAUAGUAUAUUUUAGUUUAUUUAAUGACUUGCGUGGUCGAUCUUACUAAGAUUUUAAAAUUUUUCUUUAAAUUUAAUGUAAUGUUUUAGUGAUAUUACUCACUUAAUGUUUUUCAACACACAAAAUAUUAGCAACACAAUAUAAUAAACUACAAAUACUAAUAAAUAAAUAAACAAGCAAAAGAAGAAUUGUAACUUUAUAAUAUAUAUUCAAAAUUAAUAUAGAAAUUAUUUUUUUUUACAAGAAAUGAAAUAAUCGAAACCAGAAAUUAAUGAUUAUUGGAAUCUGCUUGUUUGAGUGCUCGAGGACAAGUUUAUUCCCCAUCAAAACAAAUUUAAAUGUUGACGAGAUAAACUGAUCAUCUCAACAUAUACGACCAGAUUUCUACAUCAAAAUUUGCUAUUGUGUUGCGCGUUGGGCUCACGACCUGCGUGGCUUAUUCUCAAAGAUCACAUGGGUUCAUUGCUGCUGCGCUACUAGUGCUAGGUUUGCUACUGUGUUGAGUGCUGGGCUUGCGAUUUGUGUGGCUACCUACUGCCUACUGCUGUGAUUUUCUGACUCACAUGCUGGGCUCAUGACGAUCGCUGGCGAUAACGGCUAUGAGGCUGAGAGGGUGCGGCUGUUGGCUAUGCGGUAGGCAGUUGGUGUCUUGUGUUGUUGUACAUUUGUUUCACUUGUUUAAUUUAUGGCUAGGGAUACGGUAGCCUCAAGCCUGUUUUGAUUUUGAUUUUUUUUUUAAUUUGAAUUAUUUUUUUAUUUUAUAUAUUAUAGAGUUUUUACUAAAGACCAUAAUCAGGCCCACUAUAUACAAACUUUAUAUCUUUUAUCCUUAAUAACGUGUCUAAGAAGGAAAAAAAUAGGACAUCCGCAUUAAAAAAAAAAAUACAAAUAUUUCCUAUUGUCAUUUUUCCAAGAUCUUCCAAUUUCUGGUCUGUGGACCAAAGCACAUUCUUGGUUUUUGAUUCGUUAUUACUUCCGAGUUUUGUCUCUUGUGUUGGUUGGAUGAGGACGCUGGAGAAUGACAUGGGGCUGGCUUGUUUCCUAACAAGCAUUAUCACCGCUCGGUAUGCUCAUCUUAGCCAGCCAGCAUAAAUCACACAUAAAUGACAAUGGCCUGAUAUUGUGACCUAAUUACUACAUUUAUCUCUUCACUCAAAAAUUUUCUCUUUUGACUUUUGGUCCAGAAGAGGGCUUCGGCAGCCCAACUGCAUUUAAGCUUUGCAGGGCUAUCGCAACUCCAGGAAACAUCACAGCAUCUCCAGUCAAUUUGCUCAAAACUUAUCUUCUUUGACUCUGAAUCACAGUCAUUCAUCAUGGUGGAAUAACUCAACUUAAAAAAAUUUUAUACGGUCCUAACAUAGCAACUCGAUUAAUAUCUUAGAUUUCUUCUACAAAUAACUUCAAUUUCUUAUCAGUAAGCAGAGCCAAAAGAAAAAACUUUUCACAAACAAAUCAAACGAGAUGCAUCAAGCCUCAAACUUCUCACCAAAAGGAUAUCCAAAGGCAAUAACUAAACAAACUUUGAUACUCAAAUUUUAAUUCACGACACCGAAACUAAUUAAACAUUUCAUAAAGCUCCCAACUUUCAAAGGCCAAACAACAGCAUAUAAAAACCCAAGAUCCCAUAUCCCUUUUUCUCUUAUUUUCCCUCAGUUUCUCAGCUACCAAACACAUAACCUGUGAAUAUGUGUGUGUAAAAUAAUAAUAAUAAUAAUAAUAAUAAUAAAACUCUGUUUUUUUUUCCCGGACAAAACUUAUACUAAAAACAAAAUAACCCAUUAAAGAGAAGAAUAGUUACAACCCCAUAAACGAACCUGAAUCGCGGCUGGCCGGAGGCGGGACUCAGCUGAAACUAUGGCGGUUGCAGCGGCGUUAACGGUCUCGACGCUGUCGUGAACACUACUCAUCUUAUUUUCAAAUUUUCAAAACAUGAAACGACGACACAAACGAGUUGUGUAAUAACAUCUACAGCUUCCGUUUGGAUCUCCAAACGAAUUUGAAAAUAAGAUGAGUAGAGUUCACAAACGACUCAGCUCAGGGGCCAAAAUAGUUCUUUCCAAAGGUGCAGCACCCUUCACAAAAGGGUGAUCCAAAAGCUUAACUGCUGUUGGACGGUUUAAGGGAUUACGUUGCAAACACAACCUAAUAAAAUCCUUUCCUUCAUCAGAGAGGUCAUCUGGAAUUGUUGGGAGUUCCUUACUAUUCCCAAUCUUAAACAUAGCAGCAACCUGCAGAUCAUAACAUGCAACUAUCUCACACAAUGAACUGAGCUCCAACUGGACAACAUAAACUAUCAUUUUCUGUAUAAGAAAGAUGAAAAUUUAAGAUCGUUUCUGUUGCUUCAGUACUGACCCCUUCAUACUGGCUCCAAGGUGGUUUUGUUGUAGCCAUUUCCAAAACAGUGCACCCAAGACUCCAAAUAUCAACAGCAAGAUUGCAACCACUU